Molecule: transfer RNA, 91 nt
Filed under: Paraburkholderia lacunae
Lineage: Bacteria; Pseudomonadati; Pseudomonadota; Betaproteobacteria; Burkholderiales; Burkholderiaceae
Description: Paraburkholderia sp. S27 tRNA-Sec
Rfam family: Selenocysteine transfer RNA
Source: RNAcentral
GAAGGCAUUCGCAUCCGGUGGUGCGGCUGGGCUUCAAACCCAGUUGGGGGCGCCAGCCGCUCCCGGGCAGGUUCGACUCCUGCUGCUUUCC